GUCGAGAAUCUUUCACAAUGGGGGCAACCCUGAUGGAGCGACGCCGCGUGGAGGAUAAGGUCUUCGGAUUGUAAACUCCUGUCAUGCGUGAACAAGGUUGCUUGGUUAAUACCUGGGCAAAUUGAUGGUAACGCAAGAGGAAGAGACGGCUAACUCUGUGCCAGCAGCCGCGGUAAUACAGAGGUCUCAAGCGUUGUUCGGAAUCACUGGUCGUAAAGGGUGCGUAGGUGGCGUGGUAAUUCAGAUGUGAAAGCCCGGGGCUCAACCUCGGAACUGCAUCCGAUACUGCCAUGCUAGAGUACUGGAGAGGUGACUAGAAUUCUCGGUGUAGCAGUGAAAGGCGUAGAUAUCGAGAGGAAUACCAAAGGCGUAGGCAGGUCACUGGACAGUUACUGACACUGAGGCACGAAGGCCAGGGGAGCGAACGGGAUUAGAAACCCCUGUAGUCC
This 449-nucleotide ribosomal RNA is filed under the name uncultured bacterium. RNAcentral's name for it is "partial 16S ribosomal RNA". It matches the Rfam family "Bacterial small subunit ribosomal RNA", at positions 354 to 796 of the family's 1533-position model. The record is from RNAcentral.